CAGCCGCCGCGGUAACACGGAGGGGGCUAGCGUUGUUCGGAAUUACUGGGCGUAAAGCGCACGUAGGCGGCUUGGUAAGUUAGAGGUGAAAGCCUGGGGCUCAACUCCAGAAUUGCCUUUAAGACUGCCGAGCUAGCAGGUGAGAGAGGUAAGUGGAAUUCCGAGUGUAGAGGUGAAAUUCGUAGAUAUUCGGAAGAACACCAGUGGCGAAGGCGGCUUACUGGCUCAUACUGGACGCUGAGGUGCGAAAGCGUGGGGAGCAAACAGGAUUAGAUACCCCCGUAGUCCCUGUCUCUUAUAC
Molecule: ribosomal RNA, 301 nt
Filed under: uncultured bacterium
Lineage: Bacteria
Description: partial 16S ribosomal RNA
Rfam family: Bacterial small subunit ribosomal RNA
Source: RNAcentral